This 253-nucleotide ribosomal RNA is filed under the name uncultured bacterium. RNAcentral's name for it is "partial 16S ribosomal RNA". It matches the Rfam family "Bacterial small subunit ribosomal RNA", at positions 524 to 776 of the family's 1533-position model. The record is from RNAcentral.
UACGAAGGGUGCAAACGUUGCUCGGAAUUAUUGGGCGUAAAGCGCGUGUAGGCGGCCUAUCAAGUCAGAUGUGAAAUCCCCGGGCUCAACCUGGGAACUGCAUUUGUGACUGCAUCGCUAGAGUACGGCAGAGGGGGAUGGAAUUCCGCGUGUAGCAGUGAAAUGCGUAGAUAUGCGGAGGAACACCGAUGGCGAAGGCAAUCCCCUGGGCCUGUACUGACGCUCAUGCACGAAAGCGUGGGGAGCAAACAGG